AACGAACGCUGGCGGCAUGCCUAACACAUGCAAGUCGAACGGGAUCCUAGCUUGCUAGGUGAGAGUGGCGGACGGGUGAGUAACACGUGGGAAUCUGCCUUUUGGUUCGGGAUAACCGCGGGAAACUGCGGCUAAUACCGAAUGCCCUCGAGAGAGGAAAGAUUUAUCGCCAGAAGAGGAGCCCGCGUCCGAUUAGGUAGUUGGUGGGGUAAAGGCCUACCAAGCCGACGAUCGGUAGCUGGUCUGAGAGGAUGAUCAGCCACACUGGGACUGAGAUACGGCCCAGACUCCUACGGGAGGCAGCAGUGGGGAAUAUUAGGACAAUGGGGGCAACCCUGAUCCAGCAAUGCCGCGUGAGUGAU
Molecule: ribosomal RNA, 362 nt
Filed under: uncultured bacterium
Lineage: Bacteria
Description: bacterial SSU rRNA
Rfam family: Bacterial small subunit ribosomal RNA
Source: RNAcentral